RNAcentral lists this ribosomal RNA (253 nucleotides) under uncultured bacterium. Its description in RNAcentral is "partial 16S ribosomal RNA". It matches the Rfam family "Bacterial small subunit ribosomal RNA", at positions 524 to 776 of the family's 1533-position model. The record is from RNAcentral.
UACGAAGGGGGCUAGCGUUGUUCGGAUUUACUGGGCGUAAAGCGCACGUAGGCGGAUCGUUAAGUCGGGGGUGAAAUCCUGGAGCUCAACUCCAGAACUGCCUUCGAUACUGGCGAUCUUGAGUCCGGAAGAGGUGAGUGGAACUCCUAGUGUAGAGGUGGAAUUCGUAGAUAUUAGGAAGAACACCAGUGGCGAAGGCGGGUCUCUGGGCCGUUACUGACGCUGAGGAGCGAAAGCGUGGGGAGCGAACAGG